Molecule: ribosomal RNA, 388 nt
Filed under: uncultured bacterium
Lineage: Bacteria
Description: bacterial SSU rRNA
Rfam family: Bacterial small subunit ribosomal RNA
Source: RNAcentral
AUUGAACGCUGGCGGCAUGCCUUACACAUGCAAGUCGAACGGCAGCACGGACUUCGGUCUGGUGGCGAGUGGCGAACGGGUGAGUAAUGUAUCGGAACGUACCUUUCAGUGGGGGAUAACGUAGCGAAAGUUACGCUAAUACCGCAUAUUCUGUGAGCAGGAAAGCAGGGGAUCGCAAGACCUUGCGCUGAUUGAGCGGCCGAUAUCAGAUUAGCUAGUUGGUGAGGUAAAGGCUCACCAAGGCGACGAUCUGUAGCGGGUCUGAGAGGAUGAUCCGCCACACUGGAACUGAGACACGGUCCAGACUCCUACGGGAGGCAGCAGUGGGGAAUUUUGGACAAUGGGGGCAACCCUGAUCCAGCCAUGCCGCGUGAGUGAAGAAGGCCUC